Molecule: long non-coding RNA, 905 nt
Filed under: Panax ginseng (ginseng)
Lineage: Eukaryota; Viridiplantae; Streptophyta; Magnoliopsida; Apiales; Araliaceae
Description: long non-coding RNA (PGIN_LNC014377)
Source: RNAcentral
GAGCUUUGGAUUUAGAAUUUGAAUGUACCGUGUUAGAGCCAGACCCAGUAGAGACAUGUUGCUUAAUAAGCCCGGAUGGUGAUUGGGUCACACGCUCCGGUGAACAAAUCCCCAAUUUGGACAUUGAGGAUUCUCCCACACAUAGAACUGGAACCAUUUGGUCACCCAGAAAAGUUACAUUCUAGUUCGAAAUAACCUUAGGAGGUUCCUCCUUAACUAGUUGAAUAUUAUCAAACAUUUGGCGUGUAUUCCCAAUUUUUUCUAGUUUUUCCUCUUUUGCAAAGAGAUUUACAUCAUCAAUUGAAAGGCCAAGAGCUGAGAUAAAUUCCAUGAUAUGUAGAUUUUUCUUCCGUUCAGCAAUAGAUUCGUCUUUAUCCUUCCUUGAGAAAAAUUGAGCAGUUUUAAAGAUGUCUUGUGCCUCGGCACUAAGAACAUUUUACUUCCAAGUUAGCAUCUAACGAGACAGAAUCAUCUGAGAUGAUAAAAAUAGGAACAGGAAUGGCCAUAGAUUCUGCCAUCUCAACAAUAUUCCCCACCAGAAGAGAAUUAGAAGAGGAGUUUGGGUUUGAACUAGCAAAACCUAAGAUACCAUCAAUAGGAAUAGGUGCCGAUUCAACCAUAUCAGGCUCAACCUUCUGUGGAGAAUUUACAUUUUAAACCCCUAAAUCAGUAAAAAUAUCAUAAGACAGACUGCUCUUAGAAUUACUAGCUGAGAAAUGAGAGCAAUCAAUUAUGGCAGUGGAGAAAGAUAAAGAAGAGAAAGGAGAGAAGAGGAAAAGAGAAAUCUGAAGAAAAGAAUAGCAGAUCAAGAAGGAUCAACCAGGGAUGAGGUUAGAGAGAAGGAGGAGCGAAAAAAGUAGAGAGAUAAGCAUUUCUCCGAAAAUGAUGACCAGAGUUUGCCNNNN